AUCCUUCUGUGGUUCAUAAGCGUGAUGAUUGGGUUUACACAUGUCUGUGUGACAUGUACCACCUCACAACCUUGUUACAUUGACACAUUACCUGACAUAAA
Ochotona princeps (American pika) is the source of this 101-nucleotide small nucleolar RNA. The record is from Ensembl. Lineage: Eukaryota; Metazoa; Chordata; Mammalia; Lagomorpha; Ochotonidae.